GCUGGGCGUGGUGGCACACGCCUGUAAUCCCAGCUACUCAGGAGGCUGAGGCAGGAGAAUCGCUUGAACCUGGGAGGCGGAGGUGGCAGUGAGCUGAGAUCACACCACUGUACUUCAGCCUGGGCAACAGAGUGAGACUCUGUCUCAA
Pongo abelii (Sumatran orangutan) is the source of this 148-nucleotide unclassified non-coding RNA. It matches the Rfam family "Metazoan signal recognition particle RNA". Rfam says of the family: The signal recognition particle (SRP) is a universally conserved ribonucleoprotein. It is involved in the co-translational targeting of proteins to membranes. NCBI's taxonomy places the organism in Eukaryota, Metazoa, Chordata, Mammalia, Primates, Hominidae. The record is from Ensembl.